AAAAAUCAGAUACGGACACAAUUGGUCCAAUGAAGUAUCCAUGUUUUGUAGCUUUUUGCUUAUCAGAAUACAAGAAUGGCAUGCUAAACUAGAACAAUGAAACUAUUUGAUUAUUAGAAUUCAUGAUAGAUUGCGCCAAAAAAGAUUAGAAAGAUAUGCAAUCCCCAGGGGAACACAUAUCAUCUUUUCGGUGACAUUUAAUAAGUACCUAGAAUGACUAUUUAAUACAAGUCUCAUCUUGAAAUCAUACCAACAUUGUUUCUGCAACAAGGUUCGCCCUCUCGGUACUGAAUUUUGGUACCAUGCUAGUACAAGGGUAGUAUACCCAAUAUAGAAGGUUGAUUCGGCAUACUGAGACUCAGUACACCUCCCCUUAUCGAGUCUCGAUUUGGUACCGAUGCUAGUACGGCACGAUACACUUGGCACGGAGUAGUACACACUGAAAUGGUGAAUCUUUCUUUGUAGUGUUUGGCUAGACGUUUGAAUG
RNAcentral lists this long non-coding RNA (487 nucleotides) under Phoenix dactylifera (date palm). Its description in RNAcentral is "long non-coding RNA (PDAC_LNC008738)". The record is from RNAcentral. Lineage: Eukaryota; Viridiplantae; Streptophyta; Magnoliopsida; Arecales; Arecaceae.